RNAcentral lists this ribosomal RNA (434 nucleotides) under uncultured bacterium. Its description in RNAcentral is "partial 16S ribosomal RNA". It matches the Rfam family "Bacterial small subunit ribosomal RNA", at positions 29 to 507 of the family's 1533-position model. The record is from RNAcentral.
AGCGAACGCUGGCGGCAGGCCUAACACAUGCAAGUCGAACGAACCUUUCGGGGUUAGUGGCGGACGGGUGAGUAACACGUGGGAACGUGCCUUUAGGUUCGGAAUAACUCAGGGAAACUUGUGCUAAUACCGAAUGUGCCCUUCGGGGGAAAGAUUUAUCGCCUUUAGAGCGGCCCGCGUCUGAUUAGCUAGUUGGUUGAGGUAAUGGCUCACCAAGGCGAGGAUCAGUAGCUGGUCUGAGAGGAUGAUCAGCCACAUUGGGACUGAGACACGGCCCAAACUCCUACGGGAGGCAGCAGUGGGGAAUCUUGCGCAAUGGGCGAAAGCCUGACGCAGCCAUGCCGCGUGAAUGAUGAAGGUCUUAGGAUUGUAAAAUUCUUUCACCGGGGACGAUAAUGACGGUACCCGGAGAAGAAGCCCCGGCUAACUUCGUG